CAAACGGCUAUGAUAAGAAUAGUAAAGUAGCUUAAUUGCCUUACAGAGAGGGGAUAUAUGCUGAAAGUCCCUAGGUUAUUAUUACUUGAAGCUGCCUUUGAGCCUGACUGUCUAAUAAAUAGUCACGUUAACUACGUUACAGUUAGAUUAAGUGGCCAAUUGGCAAUUAGGGUGGUACCGCGAUUUAACCUCGUCCCUGUG
This 201-nucleotide non-coding RNA is filed under the name Acetoanaerobium sticklandii. RNAcentral's name for it is "Clostridium sticklandii T-box sequence". It matches the Rfam family "T-box leader". From Rfam's summary of the family: Uncharged tRNA acts as the effector for transcription antitermination of genes in the T-box leader family. T-boxes are found upstream of many aminoacyl-tRNA synthetase genes and some amino acid biosynthetic genes usually in Gram-positive bacteria. Lineage: Bacteria; Bacillati; Bacillota; Clostridia; Peptostreptococcales; Filifactoraceae. The record is from RNAcentral.